AAGUCGUAACAAGGUUUCCGUAGGUGAACCUGCGGAAGGAUCAUUAACAAAUCUACAACACACCCUGUGUAAACGUUGGCGUUCCCGUGGCAGUGUAGACAUGAGAGAGAAUGUGAGGAGAGGGGCGAGGAGAGGGUCAGUCGUCGUUGCUGUGCACCAUGAUGUCAUGUCAUGGUUAGCGGUGGCGGUGACCGGCCACUCCUACCACCCGCCCCACACACACUCACCACACACCACCACGGGACACGCGCAUCUCUAUACUAUGUUGAUUGACUGCCUAAGUAGAUAUCAUGAAAGCUA
RNAcentral lists this unclassified non-coding RNA (300 nucleotides) under Phylloporus sp. Its description in RNAcentral is "partial contains small subunit ribosomal RNA and internal transcribed spacer 1". The stretch from base 1 to 46 matches the Rfam family "Eukaryotic small subunit ribosomal RNA", at positions 1786 to 1831 of the family's 1831-position model. The record is from RNAcentral. Lineage: Eukaryota; Fungi; Basidiomycota; Agaricomycetes; Boletales; Boletaceae.